Molecule: unclassified non-coding RNA, 475 nt
Filed under: Hevea brasiliensis (rubber tree)
Lineage: Eukaryota; Viridiplantae; Streptophyta; Magnoliopsida; Malpighiales; Euphorbiaceae
Source: RNAcentral
GGAAGUCUAGGUGGUUUCCUCCAAAAUCUCCUGAAUUUACCACUUCCAUGAGUCAUGAGAUUUUCUCCUUCCUUUGAUCCAUCAUUUUUUGCUAUACCAUCAGACACGGGAUGGACAGCACUUUUAUUAGUCAGUACUAGAUAUGCUAAACCACCAAGCAUCAGUAACACGAGAAGUUUCCCAGUGCUACAUUUCAAAUAAUCUCGUUUCCCAUUACUGGUUAAUAGAACCUGAGAAAUUACCUGAGAUACGGAUCGCUGUCUGAACUUGGCGUUAUCGUAGUGCACAUCUUUCAUUGAAUAGGGCAAUGAUUUCGACAUCGUCUGAUUCUCGAUACAAAACAAAAGAGCAACAACUUCAGAUUCUCAAUUUGGCUCUGCCUUACAGCAGCCGUAAACGCGUGUGUAUUGCCUACUAUAGUACAGCGGCGCGUGCACGUAUAUAGGAGUGUAUUAUUGUACAGAACCAGAUGAAU